RNAcentral lists this ribosomal RNA (109 nucleotides) under Klebsiella oxytoca. The record is from RNAcentral. Lineage: Bacteria; Pseudomonadati; Pseudomonadota; Gammaproteobacteria; Enterobacterales; Enterobacteriaceae. RNAcentral also lists the same sequence under 9 other names.
GCACUAGCGCGGUGGUCCCACCUGACCCCAUGCCGAACUCAGAAGUGAAACGCCGUAGCGCCGAUGGUAGUGUGGGGUCUCCCCAUGUGAGAGUAGGGAACUGCCAGGC